CGCACGAUGCGCAUGCGCGACCGGAGACGGAACAGCAAGUCUGCUGCAACUCAUCUUAUGGCUUCGCGUGGCAUUAUAUUGGUGUUACGUACGUAGUAUACUAGGACCAGUAAAGCUGCAAGAUUUUGUCGGCCAGUCAAAAGUGGAUGCUGCAAUCCAAGGUGAAACUUUCUUUCUCAUGGUGGGGCACAUGCAUGAAGAUGUGGAUCAACUGUUUAGUGUAUUUGCAAGGGAACUUAGACAGAAGCCGGCAACAACCCGCGAUGCCCUCCUUCAAGAUGGGGGACAUCCGGACACCCACCAUCAAGCUAUCAGACUUCAAGCCCUUCAUGCCUGCCCCAAGGGAAGCGACAACCCUCCCAAGAGAUUCAAGAGGCAAUAGAGAAGAACAAUGAAAAACUGCAAAAACAAUCAAAGAUCACUCUGACAAAGCACCGAAGACAAGCGUCAGUAUCAGAACAAUAAAGAAGGAGCAGCAAGUUUUGCUGAAAUGAACAUUUUUUGUCUAAGCUAUGUGGCUGAGAUAUUGCCGAGGAUUGCAUUGCAGGAGUUUUGUACUUAGUAUGUUAAAGCUGUGUAUUUAGAAUUGUAUAUAUAUAUAUACAUAUAUAAGAUGAGAUGUGCACAAUGAAAUUUAUGAAACAAUAUAUGCAGUUAUAUUGUAAAA
Molecule: long non-coding RNA, 667 nt
Organism: Haliotis rufescens (red abalone)
Lineage: Eukaryota; Metazoa; Mollusca; Gastropoda; Lepetellida; Haliotidae
Exons: 4
Source: RefSeq, a predicted model, not a curated record